GGCUUUUGGAGUUGCCGCAGUGGCUGGGACUGCCUGCCCACCAAAUGCAGCUGGGAGCUGCUUACAGUUCCUGCCACAUUUUGGAAGCAGCGAGGAGAGCCUGUGGGUGGUCUUGCUGAAGGAGUCCUGGUCAGACAAUGUGCAGCAGCUGGUUCCCACCUGCAUGUGGGCUCUUCGCAGGUUCCUCAUGACUGCUGUCCUUGGGGAGCCCACAGGCACUCAGGCAUCUUUCCAGGAGUGAAGUUGACUCAGCUCUGCUUUGCCCAGUUUUAUUUAAGGACCGUGACUCCUGCUUCUGAAACAUUAUUCAUGAAUGCUGUUACUGCACUAUCUGCUUUUCCAUCUGUUAGAUGCCAUGGCCUCAGCAGCACAAAUGCCAUAACAGUAGCAGCUGUCAAAGGUCUAUUUAGGCAUCUUCGAAAAGUAGUAAAACCUGAUACCACUGAAGAUAAGCCAAGUUUUAUUACAAUAAAGUUUUCUUUGGGUCUGAUUUUAGAAAUGUUACUACUUAGAGCACCUCUGAAAUUUUACUUUUGAUAGGAGGGAGGUUGUACUCAUCUAUUAUUUUAAGAACAAUUAUUUUCUUAUUCACAGUUUAAACAAUGUUGUGUUACUGUUUAUAACCCAUCUACAAAUAUAUAACCCUCUGUUCUAUCUGUUCUCAGUAUUCUGUUUGGUUGCUUCCCAACUCUGGGAGUUCAUAUGGGAUAAAAGAGGAUCACUUGGACCAAACCCAUGUCUCAUCUUCUGGGUAACCCUUAUGACUUCAUGACUAAUCAAAAGUCUAAUUAAAAGCAUAGCUCACGAAGCAGAAGAUUCCCCAAACCAAGUCCUGUGUAUCACUUAGAAAUGUAAAAUUUCAAUUCUGGAGUGAAUAGUGCAUUUAAAUAUGAAUGAUAAUUGGAGAAACAAAUUAACCUUGUUUAUGCUAACUGAGUAGAUCUGAAGACUCCCUGAAGACAGGUGUCCCAUUAAUAAGCAUAGCCUAAUGGACUGCAGUUCCUUCAGAAGUCUCGUAGUCUCGACCAGGCACAAGGAAACAACCAAAGAAUUCUGCAACUCUGCAGCUCCAUGAUGCUGCACACAGACAAGCUGCGUGUCUGCAGGAGGCCUGGGCACCCCAUCCCUGGUCCUGUCUGCCUUUACACCCCUGUCCCCAUGG
Molecule: long non-coding RNA, 1162 nt
Filed under: Cyanistes caeruleus (blue tit)
Lineage: Eukaryota; Metazoa; Chordata; Aves; Passeriformes; Paridae
Description: lncRNA (ENSCCEG00000005171.1)
Source: RNAcentral